ACUGUUUCAUAUCAAAUCGUGAGGCUUGCACACAUAUUUUCUAUUGAUCUCUUAACCAUUAGAAUAUUGCUCUUAACGUUUAUCCAUGCCCAGUCUUCAAUAUUCCUUUCCCUUUGACACGAAUGCAAGAUAUAAACUAAACACAAAAGCACAAUCUCUCUCUGACCACUGUGAUACCAAGAAGAAUAAACACAAGGUAUAAACAGGAAACAAGAUUAAAAUAUUUAUAGAUAAAAGAGAUUGACUCUUUUGGUGUUUCUAA
This is a long non-coding RNA of Arabidopsis thaliana (thale cress), 262 nucleotides long. RefSeq annotates it as other RNA. The transcript is spliced from 2 exons. The record is from RefSeq. NCBI's taxonomy places the organism in Eukaryota, Viridiplantae, Streptophyta, Magnoliopsida, Brassicales, Brassicaceae.